Molecule: long non-coding RNA, 135 nt
Organism: Oncorhynchus keta (chum salmon)
Lineage: Eukaryota; Metazoa; Chordata; Actinopteri; Salmoniformes; Salmonidae
Exons: 3
Source: RefSeq, a predicted model, not a curated record
UGCUGUUGUUCAUCAGGUCUGGGAGGUUGGGACAGCAGUUCAGUCUAGUCUCUGCUGUUGUCCAUCAGAUCUGGGAGGUUGGGACAGCAGUCUAGUCUCUGCUGUUGUCCAUCAGAUCUGGGAGGUUGGGACAGC